Molecule: long non-coding RNA, 115 nt
Organism: Poecilia latipinna (sailfin molly)
Lineage: Eukaryota; Metazoa; Chordata; Actinopteri; Cyprinodontiformes; Poeciliidae
Exons: 2
Source: RefSeq, a predicted model, not a curated record
CUGACUAUAUCUCCAGGAACCUGCCUGCAAGUGGGAAGACCCAUGAAUCACAAGCGUGGAUCAUCAGUAAGCCAAUCGAGAGUUGAAUCACAGAAUGAAGCGUGCCACAAAGAGG